RNAcentral lists this ribosomal RNA (266 nucleotides) under Klebsiella quasipneumoniae. RNAcentral's name for it is "partial 23S ribosomal RNA". It matches the Rfam family "Bacterial large subunit ribosomal RNA", at positions 422 to 691 of the family's 2925-position model. The record is from RNAcentral. Lineage: Bacteria; Pseudomonadati; Pseudomonadota; Gammaproteobacteria; Enterobacterales; Enterobacteriaceae.
ACACGUGGUAUCCUGUCUGAAUAUGGGGGGACCAUCCUCCAAGGCUAAAUACUCCUGACUGACCGAUAGUGAACCAGUACCGUGAGGGAAAGGCGAAAAGAACCCCGGCGAGGGGAGUGAAAAAGAACCUGAAACCGUGUACGUACAAGCAGUGGGAGCACCUUUAUGGUGUGACUGCGUACCUUUUGUAUAAUGGGUCAGCGACUUAUAUUCUGUAGCAAGGUUAACCGUAUAGGGGAGCCGCAGGGAAACCGAGUCUUAACUGG